This 87-nucleotide transfer RNA is filed under the name candidate division WWE3 bacterium CG_4_9_14_0_2_um_filter_35_11. Its description in RNAcentral is "tRNA-Leu". It matches the Rfam family "tRNA". From Rfam's summary of the family: Transfer RNA (tRNA) molecules are approximately 80 nucleotides in length. Their secondary structure includes four short double-helical elements and three loops (D, anti-codon, and T loops). Further hydrogen bonds mediate the characteristic L-shaped molecular structure. tRNAs have two regions of fundamental functional importance: the anti-codon, which is responsible for specific mRNA codon recognition, and the 3' end, to which the tRNAs corresponding amino acid is attached (by aminoacyl-tRNA synthetases). tRNAs cope with the degeneracy of the genetic code in two manners: having more than one tRNA (with a specific anti-codon) for a particular amino acid; and 'wobble' base-pairing, i.e. permitting non-standard base-pairing at the 3rd anti-codon position. The record is from RNAcentral. Lineage: Bacteria; candidate division WWE3. RNAcentral also lists the same sequence under 1 other name.
GCCGAAGUGGCGGAACUGGCAUACGCGCACGACUCAAAAUCGUGUGGAAGCAAUUCCAUGUGGGUUCAACUCCCAUCUUCGGCACCA